Molecule: signal recognition particle RNA, 265 nt
Filed under: Clostridium sp. 19966
Lineage: Bacteria; Bacillati; Bacillota; Clostridia; Eubacteriales; Clostridiaceae
Description: signal recognition particle sRNA large type
Rfam family: Bacterial large signal recognition particle RNA
About the family: The signal recognition particle (SRP) is a universally conserved ribonucleoprotein involved in the co-translational targeting of proteins to membranes. Archaeal SRP consists of a 7S RNA and homologues of the eukaryotic SRP19 and SRP54 proteins.
Source: RNAcentral
CCGUGCUAGAUGGGGAGUUAGCGGUGCCUUGUAACCUGCAAUCCGCUAUAGCAGGAUUGAAUUCCUCACGGAGGCCCUAAUCUGUAAGGUCUGGCCUGUAAAAGUGGCGUUGAGAACUGGGUCCCACGCAACGAAAAUCUAUGAACCCCGUCAGGUCCGGAAGGAAGCAGCGGUAAGUAGACACUUUCGUGUGCCGUGGAAAAGCCUGGUUUGAGCUAACUGUACAGGUAACGCUUAUAUGUUAGUGUCGAUGUGAGGUGCACGG